UACGUAGGGAGCAAGCGUUGUCCGGAAUCAUUGGGCUUAAAGGGCGCGUAGGCGGGCUGCCGCGUCCGGGGUGAAAUCCUCCCGCUCAACGGGAGAACGGCCUCGGAUACGGGCGGCCUCGAGGGGGGUAGGGGCAUCUGGAACUGUGAGUGGAGCGGUGAAAUGCGUUGAUAUUCACAGGAACUCCGGUGGCGAAGGCGAAGUGCUGGACCCCAUCUGACGCUGAGGCGCGAAAGCCAGGGGAGCGAACGGG
Molecule: ribosomal RNA, 253 nt
Filed under: uncultured bacterium
Lineage: Bacteria
Description: partial 16S ribosomal RNA
Rfam family: Bacterial small subunit ribosomal RNA
Source: RNAcentral